This 84-nucleotide transfer RNA is filed under the name Nanobdellota archaeon. RNAcentral's name for it is "tRNA-Ser". It matches the Rfam family "tRNA". Rfam says of the family: Transfer RNA (tRNA) molecules are approximately 80 nucleotides in length. Their secondary structure includes four short double-helical elements and three loops (D, anti-codon, and T loops). The record is from RNAcentral. Lineage: Archaea; Nanobdellati; Nanobdellota.
GCCGAGGUCGCAUAACCCGGUAGUGCGCCAGCCUGGAAAGCUGGUUUCCGAAAGGAUAUCAGGGUUCAAAUCCCUGCCUCGGCG